GACGAACGCUGGCGGCGUGCUUAACACAUGCAAGUCGAACGGAAAGGCCCUGCUUUUGUGGGGUGCUCGAGUGGCGAACGGAUGAGUAGCACGUGAGUAACCUGCCCUUGACUUUGGGAUAACUUCAGGAAACUGGGGCUAAUACCGGAUAGGAGCUCCUGCUGCAUGGUGGGGGUUGGAAAGUUUCGGCGGUUGGGGAUGGACUCGCGGCUUAUCAGCUUGUUGGUGGGGUAGUGGCUUACCAAGGCUUUGACGGGUAGCCGGCCUGAGAGGGUGACCGGCCACAUUGGGACUGAGAUACGGCCCAGACUCCUACGGGAGGCAGCAGUGGGGAAUAGUGCACAAUGGGCGGAAGCCUGAUGCAGCAACGCCGCGUGCGGGAUGACGGCCUUCGGGUUGUAACCCGCUUUCGCCUGUGACGAAGCGUGAGUGACGGUAAUGGGUAAAGAAGCACCGGCUAACUACGUG
Molecule: ribosomal RNA, 468 nt
Filed under: uncultured bacterium
Lineage: Bacteria
Description: partial 16S ribosomal RNA
Rfam family: Bacterial small subunit ribosomal RNA
Source: RNAcentral